CGGGGGGGGUGGGGGGCGCCGAAGUCUGUAUGGAAUUACCUGCGCCCGCGGCGGAGCUGGCAGCGCUGGAUGGAUGGGCGCCGCGUCCGCGGCACUCGCGGCCAGCUGAGCCCCAGGAGUAAACACGGGGCUUCUCCGGCCGAGUGCGCAGUGUGGUGACCGGCACUCGCCUCGCUGACUGAUCGCACCGGAGGAAUAUUUCGGGAGACUCCUGUGGGAAGCAGCCACGGAAAGACAGAAGAUGAAAGCUCCUAUUCCCAACUUGAUUCUCUUGUAUGCUACUCUGACUCAGAGCUUGAAGGUUGUAACCAAAAGGGGAUCAGCUGUUCAUGGUCCUCCAAAAAAGACAAUCAGUUGCCACACAAUGCCUGGAGAUGCCUCAGAGCUUGGAAACUUCAGACUGACAAAACCAGAAGUGUUUAGCAGAACUCCUUGUAAAUCUUUCAAAUGCUACAGGAAGAGGUAAAUGAGUAAU
Molecule: long non-coding RNA, 475 nt
Filed under: Parus major (Great Tit)
Lineage: Eukaryota; Metazoa; Chordata; Aves; Passeriformes; Paridae
Description: lncRNA (ENSPMJG00000011192.1)
Source: RNAcentral